Molecule: RNase P RNA, 344 nt
Filed under: Nanobdellota archaeon
Lineage: Archaea; Nanobdellati; Nanobdellota
Description: RNase P RNA component
Rfam family: Archaeal RNase P
About the family: Ribonuclease P (RNase P) is a ubiquitous endoribonuclease, found in archaea, bacteria and eukarya as well as chloroplasts and mitochondria. Its best characterised activity is the generation of mature 5'-ends of tRNAs by cleaving the 5'-leader elements of precursor-tRNAs.
Source: RNAcentral
GGAAGGAUACCUUACUUCAGGCCCAGCCUAGGAAAGUCCGCCCACACGAAAAUGUUUGAACUUGUAUAAAAGCGAGUUUAGGCGUUGGGAAAGUAUCACUCACGGAAGUGAGUUCCAGAAAUGGAAGGCAACGGCUCAGAAACGGAACUGCCCUUGUUAAGGAUGAAGCCAAGAAAGAUCUGGCGACAGAUAAGGUUAAGGCAUACAUUUCAAGGGAUGUGGUGAAACGUCCAGCCCUGGUUUGUGCAAGUCAGUAGUUUUUACUAAGACGCUUAGUAGAAUGUCAGGAAAAAUCGUCCUUUCAAAUUGAGAGGGGUUUUACAAAAGGCGGCUUAUUUCCUUCC